CAUGGUCUUAGCUUGCUAAGGCCGAUGGCGACCGGCGCACGGGUGAGUAACACGUAUCCAACCUGCCCACCACUUGGGGAUAACCUUGCGAAAGUAAGACUAAUACCCAAUGAUAUCUCUAGAAGACAUCUGAAAGAGAUUAAAGAUUUAUCGGUGAUGGAUGGGGAUGCGUCUGAUUAGCUUGUUGGCGGGGUAACGGCCCACCAAGGCAACGAUCAGUAGGGGUUCUGAGAGGAAGGCCCCCACAAUGGGACUGAGACACGGCCCAUACUCC
This 274-nucleotide ribosomal RNA is filed under the name uncultured Prevotella sp. Its description in RNAcentral is "partial 16S ribosomal RNA". It matches the Rfam family "Bacterial small subunit ribosomal RNA", at positions 70 to 339 of the family's 1533-position model. Lineage: Bacteria; Pseudomonadati; Bacteroidota; Bacteroidia; Bacteroidales; Prevotellaceae. The record is from RNAcentral.